UUUUAUUCAUGUUACAACAAUGAAUUUUAUUCCUUGAUUUUUUUUAAAAUCUAUUUUUAAGUCUCCUUCCAGAAUUGGACUUCACUGCCAACAAAAGAUUUUAGUUUAAUCAGGUUGGUUAUCAUCCACUGCCUGAUCCUGAAUUUCAGUCCUAAACUGCCUGGCUGAAUGUCUUGAUGCUGACACAGAUUAAUACCAGAAAGCAAAACACCAGAUGAUACUCUUCUGGGUUGCAUCAGCUGGUUAGUAAUAGUCAUUGUGAAAUAACAGCUUCCAGCACAUGGGGUCACUUGAGGUAAGUCUCUGAUUUUAGUUUGGGAUAGCGGAAGUAAAGAAAGGGAUAUGACCCAUAGGUUUCGGUGGAGCAGAGAGAACAUAAGCCAUCUAAGGAUGUCCCCAAAUUUGCUUCCUUCCUUUAAGGGAGACAGGCUGCUGUGCCUUUUCUUUGUACUUACAGGAUGUGUGCCACAGGUUUUCUGUGUGUUAGUUCUGAUCUGUUCAUAAAGCACAAAAUCAGAAGCAGCACUUAACCUGAUUUCCAUCAGUGUACCAUUUUGUCCUUUAAGAUAUGAGCACGUCAGUAAGGCUGCAGGUGUCUUAAGAUUCCUUCAAACAUAAAAGCAUGCUAGGUAUCCAAGGAAUAUCAUGCUGUCCUGGGUAAGACUGCUAUGGUAGAUGGUCUGUCCAAAACUUUUGGUGAUUUCUGUUCCCUUGUUAUUGAAACACCUAAAGCCUGUGUGGUGUGUCAGCUUUGAUCUGGGGGUGGGCCAAGCGCUGUGUCAGGGGGGGCCAUAAUGCAUAUUAAGUCCUAUCCUUCCUAGUGGUGGGUUUCUCUUGUAUGCAAGAAACUGGGUGCUACUGCACCAAAUGUCUUUUAACAGUGCUGAAGUAAUUACUGUAACCAGAGGUUUGUAGAACUGGAAUAUAACACUAUCCCCUGAUGCAUCUUCUUCAUAGUGUUGAUAGCUACAGCAACAAGAGUCUUUCCAAUACUUGCAGUUUAGGCUGUGAGGAUUUAAGGAGGACAGCAACUAUCUGCAGUGUCAGGGUUUGUUUUUUUUGGCCUUCAGCACUUAGCGCAGAUGCUCUGAGCCCUAGUUUGGGAGCUUAGUACCUGAAUGGGGUUAAAUGGCACACUACAAGAGUGAGUGGGGAAGAGAGAAAAAGCAAGAUAUGGUGAAAGCUCCCCAUGUUGUGGGGAUAAUAGUGGUGAAGGAGGGGAAAUAAACACCUGCUGGACUUUCUGCUAUUGGCUGACUUGUGUACAUACUUAUCUAAACAUUCAAUUGUGUGGACAAGACACUGCAAUAAUUUCAGCUUUGGGUGUGCUGAUUGCAGCUUCAUCCAAGCAUUCCUUUCUCGAGAAGAAAGGCCAGUGCUGCUUAGAGCGCCUGCUUUGUCUUCAGGUUUCAGGUUAGGUAUGAAGAUGGUGUUACCAUUCUAGGUCAGUGAAGUACUUCAUCUUUCUUUUUCAUUUUAGUACUCCCUUACUUCACAUACACCUUGGAGUCACUGGGAAGUAGCAGGUACAAGGUGGUGGUAGCUUUUGUGGAGUUCAUUGUUUUACAUCGAGUUAUACCAUUAGCUGCACUAGCACAAAUAAUAUUUGUUAUCUAUAGUCAAGUCAGAAAUAUGUCAUCUCUUCUCAUUUGAUUAAUAGUGGUGCAAAACUUACUGUGGCUUGACAUAUACAUAUAAACUUCGUAUUUCAGCUCACAAGUGAAAAGGGCUGAUAGUGGCAGGUCUUUCCUCAAGGCAAAGCUAGCAACUCAGCCCUCUUCUUGAGGUACAGAAUUGACUUGGAGUUGCCUUCCUUCAAAUAUAAUUAAUGAUUCCCACAUAGGAACAUCAUUUUAGGAAGGGCUGCAAGCUACAACUAAAAGUAAACAUUAUUAUAUUGAGAAAUAAAAUAUAAAUUGAUGUCAGUAUGGCUGUGAUAGGGAGGAGUUAUAAUUUCUGACUCUGUUCUUAGAGUGAAUGAUCAUGCAGACAAAGGAGGUCUGGAUGAUAUACUUUGUUUUAUAAGAUGAUAUUUGGAAAGUUCUUUGGCAGGGAGUCUUAGCUCGUGCUGUCCUAGUCACUGUAGGAAGAAUAUCAGGAUUAAUAACUGAGCAUUUAUUCUUGGUUCUGUUUCUUAUCUUCAGUUUUCACAAUAGAGAGAAGUUGCUAGCAAUGUCAUCCAUGGGUUUGUGCUGCUGGAUCUGGAGAAGGGAGUGAAUAGAAAGGUGAAUAAUGUCUGGAAUAUUCAGUUGCUCAGGAUUAUGCAACCCAAGGUUGACUGUAAAAUGUGGGAUAGCACUUACUGAAAAGCAUCUCCAUCUAUACAAGUGCAAUGCCCUUUAAAAUAGCUGUUUCCUAUAAGAAAAAGCUUGGAAUCAUUCUGGUUAGUGCUCACAUAACAGCAGGAACAGUUAAAAAAACAAAUGGUGUUGGGAACUGAAGUCAAAAUCACAACCUUCUGUUGCUCUAUAAAACCCCCAUGUGUCCCUGCUACCAGCAUCCCAUGUAGCUUUGGUCAUCUCUGAAGGGACAUAAAAUCCCUGAAAAGUCACAGAGCAGGACAAAAGGUGGCCAGAAGUACAGUGCAAUUUUCAUGUUGUGAGUAAACACCUGGGUUGUUUCAGUUGAGUAGAAGAGAUGGCAAAGGAAGAUCCGAUACUCUUUGUCAAAUUAAAAAUGUUAUGGCAAAGGAGAACAGGGAAUGGUGAUUCACCCGUUACUAAAACAAAUCAGAGGGGACUGGCAGACAUGAAACAGCAAAUCAAAACUAAAGGCAAUGUAGUUAUCCUAAUCAAAUAGUGAAACUUGCUGAUCAAAAGCAUAUCAACAGGUUCAAAAGUCAGUGUUUCUGACCAGACCAGCUGCACUGAUAGUAGUUCCAUGCAACCCAGCCUCUGCCUUAGGCACUCCCAGAACAGCUGAGGAGCUGCGGGAGGACUAAGGAUGUACUCCACUGAACUGCCUUCCCCAAGCAUGGCCUGCCAGCCUGCAUCAGGUACCGCUGCUGUGAGGUUUUUUCCCUUGUACACACGCAGUGAGCUAGUCUGAGUUUUGUAAUAAAGGAGAUGAAAUGGGCACCUUGUGUUAACCCCUCUGCUGUACCUGCACAGACCCCGGGCUGGGGAGUUGGGGGUCUAGUGCAGAAGCUGCUCGUUAGCACUGUGCAGAGCAGCAAUGCACGGGGGGCUUUGCCUGUCCUCUGAGGUGGCAUGAGGUGGAGCCUAGGCAGAAUGCUCAUUCCAGUGUGAGGUACUGGUGGACAGUUUUAUUUAUCUUAUGUUAUCUUAUCAUGCAUUUUACACCAAAACCACACUAGCUGCAUACAAAUUGAGGUAUCUGUUACUGUAGUGACCAGUUAGCACUGGGAUUAUUUUUCAUCUUAAUGAAAAAAGGCACUUAGACCUCAGGAUAAAUAUUUCCUUCACACCUUGCCCUUUUUCCAUAAGAACACUGAAGAAAUGGUCACUUCUUGGUCGCUUAUGAAAUCACUGGUGAGGCUUCUGCUCACAGUGUGACCACCUUUGAGCAGGCACUGUUUUCCCAGUGACACAAUCUGAGGGCUUUGCUGUACUUUUCAAGCAGUAUAUCACUUCUUUUAUGUUUUGAUGGCAGUAUGAUCCAUAGAGUCAGCAAGUCUGAGCAUGAAAUAUUACAGCUCCAGUUAAAGGAGGUGAAACCCAUCUCAGGCUAUUCUUGUCUCAUUUCCUUAUGAAUAGCUGGAAACAGUGUCUCCAGUCAUUCAGAGUUGCUGCAUUUUGACUGUACUCGUCCAUCCUCGUCAACAAUGUGAUUUUUUUUUUAAAAGACUGGAACUUGUUUUAAGAAGAAGUAGUUCUUUAACCUUUCCAGAGGAAAAGUUUGGCUGAACUGCACAGGUGUUCUCCACUUGGGAGUGUGACUUUAGUAGUUCACUAUCCUACCAUGUAUGCAGUGCAUGUGCUUGCUGACAGGGCAGUGCAGGUACCACUGCUUUCAGUGGGAAGAACUUGCCCCCUGCACUAAAGUUCAUCCUGCAGUCUAGAAGGGAACCUCUGCACUGAAUCUGCAAGCGAGAAGCAUAUCAGGUUUUACAGUAAUGGGUAGGUUUUAGCAUAUGUGGGAAGACGUAAAAGCUUGUAAUCAGGUAAGUUACAAAGCUCAGAACUGUUAUUUAAUGAGAAAGGGACUCUUCUUCAACAUUACCAAGUGUGUUAACUUGGAAAACUGAGAUCUAAGAAAAUUACAGCUAUUUCCUGCAGUAAAAAAAACCUACAGAAACCCUUUGUUCAGGAGGCCCAAGAAUUGAUGCUCUUAAUGCUACUAGUUUUCAACAUUGUUGUUGCUGUUCAAUCCAAAUAAACCAUUCUUUUGCUUUUGCAA
Long non-coding RNA from Athene cunicularia (burrowing owl), 4359 nucleotides. RefSeq lists it as uncharacterized. The record is from RefSeq and is a predicted model, not a curated record. The transcript has 2 exons. Lineage: Eukaryota; Metazoa; Chordata; Aves; Strigiformes; Strigidae.